Molecule: ribosomal RNA, 779 nt
Filed under: uncultured Neocallimastigales
Lineage: Eukaryota; Fungi; Neocallimastigomycota; Neocallimastigomycetes; Neocallimastigales
Description: partial large subunit ribosomal RNA
Rfam family: Eukaryotic large subunit ribosomal RNA
Source: RNAcentral
UCGUCUAUAUACGUAUAGCAUAUCAAUAAGCGGAGGAAAAGAAACUAACUAGGAUUCCCUCAGUAACGGCGAGUGAAGCGGGAAGAGCUCAAAUUUGAAAUCUUCAAGGUUCUACCUUGACGAAUUGUAGUUUAAAGAAGUGUUUUCUGUUGGAGUUUUGGUAAAAGUUCUUUGGAAUAGGACAUCAUAGAGGGUGAGAAUCCCGUAUUUGACCAUUAUUUCCAACUUUGUGAUACACUUUCAAAGAGUCGGAUUGUUUGGGAAUGCAGUCCAAAAUGGGUGGUAAAUUUCAUCUAAAGCUAAAUACUGGCGAGAGACCGAUAGCGAACAAGUACCGUGAGGGAAAGAUGAAAAGAACUUUGAAAAGAGAGUUAAACAGUACGUGAAAUUGUCAAAAGGGAAGCGUUUGACACCAGUGUUGUUUUCUCGAAAAUCAAUUAAAAAUGGCUGGGAUUUUGUGUUGUAUUGACUUUAUCAGCUUUCUGCACUUUUUUCCUUAUCUUUUUUAAUGCACUUUUCGUUUAACAAGUCAACAUCAAUUUCUUUUGUUGUAAAAGGGUCAUUGGAAGGUGGCUUUCUUUUCGGAGAAAGUGUUUAUAGCCUUUGACUUCUGCAAUCGGAGAGAUUGAGGUCUGCAGCGUAGAUCCUUCGGGGUUAGAUACAUUUGUGCUAAGUUAUAGCCUUUUAUAGACAACUUGUUGUACUAUGAUUAGUCAUUGUAGCUUACUCGCUUAUGUAAUUUUACCUACGCUUAGGAUGUUGACGAUCAGCUGAGCGCG